GUAGGGGCAAGCGUUAUCCGGAUUUACUGGGCGUAAAGAGCGCGUAGGCGGCUUCUUAAGUUGGCAGUGAAAGAUUCCGGCUCAACUGGGAUAAAGCCUGUCAAUACUGGGAGGCUUAGGGCACCAGAGGAAAAGUGAACUCGCGGUGUAGCGGUGAAAUGUGCAGAUAUCGCGAGGAGCACCAGUGGCGAAGGCGGCUUUCUGGGGUAUUCCUGACGCUGAGGCGCGAAAGCGUGGGGAGCGAAGCGGAUUAGAUACCCGCGUAGUCCACGCCCUAAACGGUGGAUACUUGGUAUGGGGGGUAUCGACCCCUUCCGUGCCGAAGCUAACGCUUUAAGUAUCCCGCCUGGGGAGUACGGCCGCAAGGUUG
Molecule: ribosomal RNA, 370 nt
Filed under: uncultured bacterium
Lineage: Bacteria
Description: bacterial SSU rRNA
Rfam family: Bacterial small subunit ribosomal RNA
Source: RNAcentral